Molecule: ribosomal RNA, 497 nt
Filed under: uncultured bacterium
Lineage: Bacteria
Description: partial 16S ribosomal RNA
Rfam family: Bacterial small subunit ribosomal RNA
Source: RNAcentral
GAUGAACGCUGGCGGCGUGCCUAAUACAUGCAAGUCGAGCGAACAGACGAGGAGCUUGCUCCUCUGACGUUAGCGGCGGACGGGUGAGUAACACGUGGAUAACCUACCUAUAAGACUGGGAUAACUUCGGGAAACCGGAGCUAAUACCGGAUAACAUGUUGAACCGCAUGGUUCAACAGUGAAAGACGGUCUUGCUGUCACUUAUAGAUGGAUCCGCGCCGCAUUAGCUAGUUGGUAAGGUAACGGCUUACCAAGGCAACGAUGCGUAGCCGAGCUGAGAGGGUGAUCGGCCACACUGGAACUGAGACACGGCCCAGACUCCUACGGGAGGCAGCAGUAGGGAAUCUUCCGCAAUGGGCGAAAGCCUGACGGAGCAACGCCGCGUGAGUGAAGAAGGUCUUCGGAUCGUAAAACUCUGUUAUUAGGGAAGAACAAAUGUGUAAGUAACUAUGCACGUCUUGACGGUACCUAAUCAGAAAGCCACGGCUAACUACGUG